GAUGAACGCUGGCGGCGUGCCUAAUACAUGCAAGUCGAGCGAACAGAUGAGGAGCUUGCUCCUCUGACGUUAGCGGCGGACGGGUGAGUAACACGUGGAUAACCUACCUAUAAGACUGGGAUAACUUCGGGAAACCGGAGCUAAUACCGGAUAAUAUAUUGAACCGCAUGGUUCAAUAGUGAAAGACGGUUUUGCUGUCACUUAUAGAUGGAUCCGCGCCGCAUUAGCUAGUUGGUAAGGUAACGGCUUACCAAGGCAACGAUGCGUAGCCGACCUGGGAGGGUUAUCGGCCACACUGGAACUGAGGCACGGGCCAGACUCCCACGGGGAGCAGCAGUAGGGAAUCUUCCGGAAUGGGCGAAAGCCUGACGGAGCAACGCCGCGUGAGUGAUGAAGGUCUUCGGAUCGUAAAACUCUGUUAUUAGGGAAGAACAAAUGUGUAAGUAACUAUGCACGUCUUGACGGUACCUAAUCAGAAAGCCACGGCUAACUACGUG
RNAcentral lists this ribosomal RNA (497 nucleotides) under uncultured bacterium. RNAcentral describes it as "partial 16S ribosomal RNA". It matches the Rfam family "Bacterial small subunit ribosomal RNA", at positions 28 to 507 of the family's 1533-position model. The record is from RNAcentral.